UGGGGAAUCUUGGACAAUGGGCGCAAGCCUGAUCCAGCGACGCCGCGUGGGUGAUGAAGGCCUUCGGGUUGUAAAGCCCUUUCACCGGGGACGAUGAUGACGGUACCCGGCGAAGAAGCACCGGCUAACUCCGUGCCAGCAGCCGCGGUAAGACGGAGGGUGCUAGCGUUGUUCGGAAUCACUGGGCGUAAAGGGCGCGUAGGCGGCGAUGGCAGUCGGGUGUGAAAGCCCGGAGCUCAACUCCGGAAUUGCACUCGAGACGCCAUGGCUGGAGGUCGGAAGAGGAGGGUGGAAUACCCAGUGUAGAGGUGAAAUUCGUAGAUAUUGGGUGGAACACCGGUGGCGAAAGCGGCUCUCUGGUCCGAACCUGACGCUGAGGCGCGAAAGCGUGGGGAGCAAACAGGAUUAGAUACCCCCGUAGUCC
Molecule: ribosomal RNA, 424 nt
Filed under: uncultured prokaryote
Description: bacterial SSU rRNA
Rfam family: Bacterial small subunit ribosomal RNA
Source: RNAcentral